GACGAACGCUGGCGGCGUGCUUAACACAUGCAAGUCGAACGGAAAGGCCCUGCUUUUGUGGGGUGCUCGAGUGGCGAACGGGUGAGUAACACGUGAGUAACCUGCCCUUGACUUUGGGGUAACUUCAGGAAACUGGGGCUAAUACCGGAUAGGAGCUCCUGCUGCAUGGUGGGGGUUGGAAAGUUUCGGCGGUUGGGGAUGGACUCGCGGCUUAUCAGCUUGUUGGUGGGGUAGUGGCUUACCAAGGCUUUGACGGGUAGCCGGCCUGAGAGGGUGACCGGCCACAUUGGGACUGAGAUACGGCCCAGACUCCUACGGGAGGCAACAGUGGGGAAUAUUGCACAAUGGGCGGAAGCCUGAUGCAGCAACGCCGCGUGCGGGAUGACGGCCUUCGGGUUGUAAACCGCUUUCGCCUGUGACGAAGCGUGAGUGACGGUAAUGGGUAAAGAAGCACCGGCUAACUACGU
RNAcentral lists this ribosomal RNA (467 nucleotides) under uncultured bacterium. RNAcentral describes it as "partial 16S ribosomal RNA". It matches the Rfam family "Bacterial small subunit ribosomal RNA", at positions 28 to 506 of the family's 1533-position model. The record is from RNAcentral.